GUGGGGAAUAUUGGACAAUGGGCGAAAGCCUGAUCCAGCCAUGCCGCGUGAGUGAUGAAGGCCUUAGGGUUGUAAAGCUCUUUCAGUAGGGAAGAUAAUGACGGUACCUACAGAAGAAGCCCCGGCUAACUUCGUGCCAGCAGCCGCGGUAAUACGAAGGGGGCUAGCGUUGUUCGGAUUUACUGGGCGUAAAGCGCACGUAGGCGGAUUGGUCAGUUAGAGGUGAAAUCCUGGAGCUCAACUCCAGAACUGCCUUUAAUACUGCCAGUCUAGAGUCCAGAAGAGGUGAGUGGAACUCCUAGUGUAGAGGUGGAAUUCGUAGAUAUUAGGAAGAACACCAGUGGCGAAGGCGGCUCACUGGACCGUUGUUGACGCUGAGGUGCGAAAGCGUGGGGAGCAAACAGGAUUAGAAACCCUGGUAGUCC
Molecule: ribosomal RNA, 425 nt
Filed under: uncultured bacterium
Lineage: Bacteria
Description: partial 16S ribosomal RNA
Rfam family: Bacterial small subunit ribosomal RNA
Source: RNAcentral